CAUUUUUAUUCUUUGCAUAAAAAAUCCUACAUCUAUCAAACAUUUCUUUAAUCUGGUGCCAGGAGUCAGUCUCUAUGUUAUAUUGAAGAUCCUGGGGAUCAUAAUGUUCUGCAGUGCAGUCUGCAUCUUUCAGUGCUGGUUUAGAUUAUCCAACAAACAAGAGAAGAAGGACACAGAUGAAGCAGAUGAUGUCAACAGAGUGAUGGAGGUUCAGGCAUCAUGAACCUCAAGG
Cyprinodon variegatus (sheepshead minnow) is the source of this 232-nucleotide long non-coding RNA. RefSeq lists it as uncharacterized. The transcript is spliced from 3 exons. NCBI's taxonomy places the organism in Eukaryota, Metazoa, Chordata, Actinopteri, Cyprinodontiformes, Cyprinodontidae. The record is from RefSeq and is a predicted model, not a curated record.